This 433-nucleotide unclassified non-coding RNA is filed under the name soil metagenome. RNAcentral's name for it is "partial contains 5.8S ribosomal RNA, internal transcribed spacer 2, and large subunit ribosomal RNA". The stretch from base 1 to 120 matches the Rfam family "5.8S ribosomal RNA", at positions 35 to 154 of the family's 154-position model. The record is from RNAcentral.
GAUGAAGAACGCAGCGAAAUGCGAUACGUAAUGUGAAUUGCAGAAUUCAGUGAAUCAUCGAAUCUUUGAACGCAUAUUGCGCUCUCUUGUAUUCCGGAGAGCAUGCUUGUUUGAGUAUCAGUAAACACCUCAACUUCCAUAUCUUUUUUUGAAAUGGGAGUUGGACUUGAGUGAUCCCAACGCUUUUCCUCACCGAAAAGUGGCGGGUUACUUGAAAUGCAGGUGCAGCUGGACUUUUCUCUGAGCUAUAAGCAUAUCUAUUUAGUCUGCCUAAAAAACAGAUUAUUACCUUUGCUGCAGCUAACAUAAAGGAGAUUAGUUCUUGUGCUGACUGAUGCAGGAUUCACAAAGACAGCUUCGGCCGACUUUGUAAACUCGAUCUCAAAUCAAGUAAGACUACCCGCUGAACUUAAGCAUAUCAAUAAGCGGAGGA